Molecule: long non-coding RNA, 672 nt
Organism: Mytilus californianus (California mussel)
Lineage: Eukaryota; Metazoa; Mollusca; Bivalvia; Mytilida; Mytilidae
Exons: 2
Source: RefSeq, a predicted model, not a curated record
UAAUACGGUUUAUCUCAUUUAUAAGAUAAACCAAUUUAAUGAAAGAGAAAUGAUUACUGCGUCAUUCGGAUCCGGUUCUCGUUUCCCGAUAAUCAACGUCACAUGACUCUUCAGCAUUACAUUGAACUAGCCACUCUAUUAGAUAUGUAAAAGUUUCAAAAAUGCAAUCGUAAAAAAUCAUUGACAUCCGCAUGUCAUAUUACAAUAUUUUGGUAUGAAACUAUCGAAGAGACAAGGUAAUUCUCCAAGAAAGGAUUUUCAUUUGCAAGGGCCAGCAAAUGACGAAAUUAAAAGGUAAACCGAACUGUCACCAUACGAUCCGAUGCCAUCAACACGAGGAACACCUCCAGUUUCUUUCGACAUGUAUGGAUGUGUAAAGAUCAUAGAACAAUUUAAUUAAUGUAUCUUCACCAUAAAAAUUAUACAAUGCACCAAUGACAGGGACAGCUUCCAAUUUGUCAGUGGCUCAUGGACCGGUGAUCAAUUUAAUGGCUUCACACCAGGAGCCCCCAUUUAUAAUUCCACACGGCACAACAUGCACAAGGAAAACACGAUUCAAAAGAAUAGGAGAACCACUGAUCCAAAGAAUUCAUAACCUGGUUCCAGCGGUUUGCAGAUUUCGUCAAACAUUAAUCUUGAAUGACCAGAAUAGGCCGGAUCUAUAACAUUUUG